Long non-coding RNA from Medicago truncatula (barrel medic), 424 nucleotides. RefSeq lists it as uncharacterized. The transcript has 3 exons. NCBI's taxonomy places the organism in Eukaryota, Viridiplantae, Streptophyta, Magnoliopsida, Fabales, Fabaceae. The record is from RefSeq and is a predicted model, not a curated record.
UAUAUAGUGAUAAAAUAGUUUGUUGUACGUUACAUGCAAAAAAAGGAAAAAAAUGAUUAAAAUUAUCAAGUUUGUGUAUGCUAUGACCUUCUUGAUUUUCCUAUUUCUUUUUAUAACUGACACUGCUGGUGAGUGUAUUACUUUCCUCGAUUGUUUACAUCUUCCUUGUAUGCCAACUGAAACGCAGCUAUGUGUGGAUAAAAAAUGUAUCUGCAUGGGUUUAACAGCCAAGCAGAACCUCUCAAGAUAAAUACUUUAGUUAUAAAUAAUUAUUUGUCUUAAUUAUUUUGCAAUGCAAACAAAAUAAUGUAUAUUGAAUACAGUUCCUUUUAUUUUAUAUAGUUAUGUGUAUCUUUUAUAAUAUACAUAUAUAUAUUAAAUAAACUAGAGAUAAUAUAAAAUACUUGUGUCAUUAGAUGAAUUA